RNAcentral lists this non-coding RNA (56 nucleotides) under Lachnospiraceae bacterium MD308. The record is from RNAcentral. Lineage: Bacteria; Bacillati; Bacillota; Clostridia; Lachnospirales; Lachnospiraceae.
GAAAGGAUACGGGUAUACCGAACCGUAUCUGGACGAAAUCAGUAGUCCCUAUUAAA